GAUGAACGCUGGCGGCGUGCCUAAUACAUGCAAGUCGAGCGAACAGACGAGGAGCUUGCUCCUUCGACGUUAGCGGCGGACGGGUGAGUAACACGUAGGUAACCUACCUAUAAGACUGGGAUAACUUCGGGAAACCGGAGCUAAUACCGGAUAAUAUUUCGAACCGCAUGGUUCGAUAGUGAAAGAUGGCUUUGCUAUCACUUAUAGAUGGACCUGCGCCGUAUUAGCUAGUUGGUAAGGUAACGGCUUACCAAGGCAACGAUACGUAGCCGACCUGAGAGGGUGAUCGGCCACACUGGAACUGAGACACGGUCCAGACUCCUACGGGAGGCAGCAGUAGGGAAUCUUCCGCAAUGGGCGAAAGCCUGACGGAGCAACGCCGCGUGAGUGAUGAAGGUCCUCGGAUCGUAAAACUCUGUUAUUAGGGAAGAACAAGCGUGUAAGUAACUGUGCACGUCUUGACGGUACCUAAUCAGAAAGCCACGGCUAACUACGUG
Molecule: ribosomal RNA, 497 nt
Filed under: uncultured bacterium
Lineage: Bacteria
Description: partial 16S ribosomal RNA
Rfam family: Bacterial small subunit ribosomal RNA
Source: RNAcentral